GGGACCGUAGCUCAGCGGUGAGAGCAGCCGACUCAUAAUCGGUUGGUCGCAGGUUCGAAUCCUGCCGGUCCCA
This 73-nucleotide transfer RNA is filed under the name Pirellulaceae bacterium. Its description in RNAcentral is "tRNA-Ile". It matches the Rfam family "tRNA". From Rfam's summary of the family: Transfer RNA (tRNA) molecules are approximately 80 nucleotides in length. Their secondary structure includes four short double-helical elements and three loops (D, anti-codon, and T loops). The record is from RNAcentral. Lineage: Bacteria; Pseudomonadati; Planctomycetota; Planctomycetia; Pirellulales; Pirellulaceae.